Molecule: ribosomal RNA, 429 nt
Filed under: uncultured bacterium
Lineage: Bacteria
Description: partial 16S ribosomal RNA
Rfam family: Bacterial small subunit ribosomal RNA
Source: RNAcentral
AACGAACGCUGGCGGCAGGCCUAACACAUGCAAGUCGAGCGGACCUUUCGGGGUCAGCGGCGGACGGGUGAGUAACGCGUGGGAAUAUGCCCUUCUCUACGGAAUAGUCCUGGGAAACUGGGGGUAAUACCGUAUACGCCCUUUGGGGGAAAGAUUUAUCGGGGAAGGAUUAGCCCGCGUUGGAUUAGGUAGUUGGUGGGGUAAUGGCCUACCAAGCCGACGAUCCAUAGCUGGUUUGAGAGGAUGAUCAGCCACACUGGGACUGAGACACGGCCCAGACUCCUACGGGAGGCAGCAGUGGGGAAUCUUAGACAAUGGGGGCAACCCUGAUCUAGCCAUGCCGCGUGAGUGAUGAAGGCCUUAGGGUUGUAAAGCUCUUUCAGCUGGGAAGAUAAUGACGGUACCAGCAGAAGAAGCCCCGGCUAACUC